This 560-nucleotide ribosomal RNA is filed under the name uncultured bacterium. Its description in RNAcentral is "bacterial SSU rRNA". It matches the Rfam family "Bacterial small subunit ribosomal RNA", at positions 393 to 946 of the family's 1533-position model. The record is from RNAcentral.
AAUGCCGCGUGAGUGAAGAAGGCCUUCGGGUUGUAAAGCUCUUUUGUCAGGGAAGAAACGGUGCGGGCUAAUAUCCUGCACUAAUGACGGUACCUGAAGAAUAAGCACCGGCUAACUACGUGCCAGCAGCCGCGGUAAUACGUAGGGUGCAAGCGUUAAUCGGAAUUACUGGGCGUAAAGCGUGCGCAGGCGGUUUUGUAAGUCUGAUGUGAAAUCCCCGGGCUCAACCUGGGAAUUGCAUUGGAGACUGCAAGGCUAGAAUCUGGCAGAGGGGGGUAGAAUUCCACGUGUAGCAGUGAAAUGCGUAGAGAUGUGGAGGAACACCGAUGGCGAAGGCAGCCCCCUGGGUCAAGAUUGACGCUCAUGCACGAAAGCGUGGGGAGCAAACAGGAUUAGAUACCCUGGUAGUCCACGCCCUAAACGAUGUCUACUAGUUGUCGGGUUUUAAUUAACUUGGUAACGCAGCUAACGCGUGAAGUAGACCGCCUGGGGAGUACGGUCGCAAGAUUAAAACUCAAAGGAAUUGACGGGGACCCGCACAAGCGGUGGAUGAUGUGGAU